RNAcentral lists this long non-coding RNA (364 nucleotides) under Erythranthe guttata (spotted monkey flower). RNAcentral describes it as "long non-coding RNA (EGUT_LNC000840)". Lineage: Eukaryota; Viridiplantae; Streptophyta; Magnoliopsida; Lamiales; Phrymaceae. The record is from RNAcentral.
CCGGAUAUUAAAUUGGAUUGCCUCCGUUAUUAUCGGAAUUGGAAAUGUAGUCAAUGUAAAGUGGGUCCAGAGUCUCAAAUGUCUCAGUAGCGAUUACUAUACAUUAAAUGGGAGUUAAAAGAGUGAUGUGUGCUCUAAGUUUGUUUGUUGUCAUCACAUUCUUCAACAAUAGUUUCAUUUAGUUGAGGGUGUGAGCACAAUAAUGUGUUUGGUGUGUUACUAUUGCCUUCACUACAGUCGACACCAGAGAAUACAUUAGGUAGUUGAAUCAACAAUUUUUUUUGUUGAUAUAUUGAAACUCAAGUUGUUAAUUGAGAUAUCAAACUGCAGAUACUGAUGCGGUUUUCAGGUUGUAAAAAUUUAC